This 490-nucleotide ribosomal RNA is filed under the name uncultured bacterium. Its description in RNAcentral is "partial 16S ribosomal RNA". It matches the Rfam family "Bacterial small subunit ribosomal RNA", at positions 30 to 507 of the family's 1533-position model. The record is from RNAcentral.
AUUGAACGCUGGCGGCAGGCCUAACACAUGCAAGUCGAACGGUAACAGGAAGAAGCUUGCUUCUUUGCUGACGAGUGGCGGACGGGUGAGUAGUGUCUGGGAAACUGCCUGAUGGAGGGGGAUAACUACUGGAAACGGUAGCUAAUACCGCAUAAUGUCGCAAGACCAAAGAGGGGGACCUUCGGGCCUCUUGCCAUCGGAUGUGCCCAGAUGGGAUUAGCUAGUAGGUGGGGUAACGGCUCACCUAGGCGACGAUCCCUAGCUGGUCUGAGAGGAUGACCAGCCACACUGGAACUGAGACACGGUCCAGACUCCUACGGGAGGCAGCAGUGGGGAAUAUUGCACAAUGGGCGCAAGCCUGAUGCAGCUAUGCCGCGUGUAUGAAGAAGGCCUUCGGGUUGUAAAGUACUUUCAGCGGGGAGGAAGGGAGUAAAGUUAAUACCUUUGCUCAUUGACGUUACCCGCAGAAGAAGCACCGGCUAACUCCGUG